This is a long non-coding RNA of Artibeus jamaicensis (Jamaican fruit-eating bat), 2716 nucleotides long. RefSeq lists it as uncharacterized. The record is from RefSeq and is a predicted model, not a curated record. The transcript has 4 exons. NCBI's taxonomy places the organism in Eukaryota, Metazoa, Chordata, Mammalia, Chiroptera, Phyllostomidae.
GCCUGUACGGCGACAUAGCUGAAGGUGUCAGCAUCCUGAAACACAGACGUGCUCUUCUUUUCCUGAGUGCUUCUCAUCAAGGCUAUUGUAUUUCACCGAAGAUGCAACUUUCUGAAACAAGAUGUCCCGAAAUGAUAGUUCGAAGAUGCAGCUUUAAAGAUGGCAGAAGUGGCACUUUAGGCAGAACCCAAUCACACCAUUGUGCUUGCCUGCCAUGUGGAUUCACAGACACUCUGGAGUCACAAACUGGGGCUCGCCCUUCUACACCCCUUCAGAGACUACUGUACGGUGUGAUUAACAAGAACGGAGGCUGAAGGAGAGCAUCCUGAUGAAGAGUGGACAUGUGCUGGACAGCAUGGAAUGUCUAUCGUCUAGCCCUGGGCACCAAAGGAAUGUCAAUAACUUGAAGUACCAUUCAAUACCUUCAGGAGGAGAGCAAUCAAGACGGUGGCAGGAGCUGUAAAUCAGGUCGCCCAGGGGUUUUUUUGAGUGAAUUUAGCUAAUUUCAAACUUUUGAAAGCUCAGCAUGUAAAACAGGGGUUGACCAUCUAUCUCAUUACGAAGAGCUAGUGCAUGGAUGUUCACUCACAAAGCAUCACAGACAAAGAAUUAGACUAAGAAGAUGAGCUGCUUGUUCUGGAACAUAUUCAAGGAAUGAGUGACUGAGCCAUUUUCAGAGAUGAAUAUCUGCAUUUUUAGGGAUAGAGUAUGGAAUGUCUAAUAAUUCUUACCAGUUUAUAUUUAUAUAUCAUUUUUCUGCUGAAAUAUACCACGAAGGCUCCAAACUGCCAACCAUAUAAAGGAAGGUCAAAUCACUCACUGUGAUGUUUGAGGCCCUUGAGAACAUUCCUCUGGUCGCUGACCUACAGUUUGUCUCCUACCACCCCCACUGAGCACCCACUUCCCAGCCUCCCUGCCAUCCAUUUGGCGGGUACCUUCUGGGGUCUUGGCCUUUCCUUUGCUCAUGCUGUUCUUUCCCAGGAUGUCCUUUUGGCUUUCCUUGACUUAGUAAAUGCAAUUCAUUUUUCAGUAUGAAUUGUUGAACAUUACCUUGCUUUCAGGCUUUCUCACUCUCCCAGAAAUUAUUUUUCAAAGCUGACAUUCACUAUUAGGAAUUUGCAGCCGUACAAGUAGCCAGGGUCCACUCUACUUGGAUGGUCCACGCCCACGCCCUGUGAGAGGUUGAAACUAGGAGACACCAUCCUGUGGUCACCGUGACACAUCGGAUGCCGUCUUCAGCUUUGUUUUCUGAGCUCCUAUAUCUGCCAGCCAACCAUGAGCCCCUCAAGGUCAGGACCAAGUCCAGUCCAAUUCAGAUCCCCAGGGCUUAGUAAAAAGCCUGUCACCUUCGUCGCUAUCUGGAAAUCUGAGUUGAAUCAAUGAACGGAGUUUCAGUGUUUCUGGUUCUAUCCUUACCAGUCAGUUCAACCUUUUAACUUCAGUAGGCAGGUACCUCCUUCAUGCUUAGAGACGUUAGCUGAAAUUGGUAUAAUAAACAGAUGCUGUAUUCAUUACUACUUUGGAGGUCUUUGAGAACAUUCUGAGAAGACAAUUAGUUGAUAUAAACUUUCAAAGAGGCAGGGAUACCUACGACCAUGAUCCUCAGAGGGGAGAUUUUAGAGUCUGACAGAUAGAGUCUACUAUCCAACUUAUGAGUUCAACAAUCCGACUUUGAAUUCCAGCUAUGCCUAGGGCUGGCCAUGUCAGUUGACUGGGUUAUUACUGUAUCUAAACCUCAACUUCCUCAUCUAUAAAAAGGGGAUAAAAGUGGUAUCUUCCUUGUAGGGUAAUGGGAAGGAGAAUUUCCUAGGGCUUGGCAUAGGAAAUACUAAGCACAGUGCCUGGCAUAAAAGUCGGUAUUGUUGUUGCUGAGUGUUCUGGGUUUGACGACCGUAACAACACUGGAUUCAUGAACUACUAACUGUUGUAACUUCCCCCAGCUGCUCACGUUGCACAAAGACAUAAUUCUAGUGCCUGGUUCCUAAAAGGCGUUAUAAGAUGUUGGAUAUACUCAAACAGGUAUUUUAGUGUUUGGAGCAUUUGGAUUCCAAAAGAAAUGUGUUUUUAUAUUUAUGUUUAACAUUUGCUGUUUUUGCCUCAAAUCCAGCAACAAAUCCACUUGACCCAUUUGUGUUAAGCCCUUUAUAUGAGCAGAGCACUGUGGCUUGCACUUACUCAAAUCCAAAUUAAGGUCUAAAUCUGAAAGAAAGAAAAUCACCUUUUCAAAGAGCCAAACUCCAUGAGGAGAGAAAGUAGGCCAAAUACCUACUGGACAAGCUGUUGGAAGGGACACACCAUUUCUUUUAACUUGUGUUACUUUGCUACCGGCACUAAAAUAAAUCCAUUUGUGCCAACACCUAUUAUUUCCCCACUUCCGAAGAAGGUCAGCACACAAACAAUACAGAAGAUUCUGGAUAUGACCUCAUAACAAUGAUUACUUCUCAUGAAGUUUAAAUUCUGGUUCUGCAUCUUCCUGACUGUGUGAUUUUGCCAUAUUUCAACCUUUCUGAUGUCCAGUUCUUGUUUUCCAGUCUCUAAAAUGGAGAUAAUAAUGUAACCUCAUCCCUUAAUGUGUGACUCAGUUUUCUUUCAAACUUGUAUUACUCCAAACAAUAGCAAUAAUAACAUCUACCUUGGUGUGUGAGUGUGUGAUGAAUGCCCACCAAAGUUCAGCAGUUUUUCAUAAAUAGUUAUCAAUUUUCUGUUUGCCUUUGGU